This 133-nucleotide small nucleolar RNA is filed under the name Sus scrofa (pig). Lineage: Eukaryota; Metazoa; Chordata; Mammalia; Artiodactyla; Suidae. The record is from RNAcentral.
UUCCAAAGUGUUGAGUUCAGUUCAGGGCUGCUCCCCUGUUCUGUUAAUUAAACUUUGGGACAUUGAAACGCAGGCUGGGGAGGUGAUUGACCGGAGAGCGUGACUCUGUUCAUUGCCUCCUCGGCCGACAGAG